UUAAAUUGAAGAGUUUGAUCAUGGCUCAGAUUGAACGCUGGCGGCAGGCCUAACACAUGCAAGUCGAACGGUAACAGGAAGCAGCUUGCUGCUUUGCUGACGAGUGGCGGACGGGUGAGUAAUGUCUGGGAAACUGCCUGAUGGAGGGGGAUAACUACUGGAAACGGUGGCUAAUACCGCAUAAUGUCGCAAGACCAAAGAGGGGGACCUUCGGGCCUCUUGCCAUCAGAUGUGCCCAGAUGGGAUUAGCUUGUUGGUGAGGUAACGGCUCACCAAGGCGACGAUCCCUAGCUGGUCUGAGAGGAUGACCAGCCACACUGGAACUGAGACACGGUCCAGACUCCUACGGGAGGCAGCAGUGGGGAAUAUUGCACAAUGGGCGCAAGCCUGAUGCAGCCAUGCCGCGUGUAUGAAGAAGGCCUUCGGGUUGUAAAGUACUUUCAGCGGGGAGGAAGGUGUUGUGGUUAAUAACCGCAGCAAUUGACGUUACCCGCAGAAGAAGCACCGGCUAACUCCGUGCCAGCAGCCGCGGUAAUACGGAGGGUGCAAGCGUUAAUCGGAAUUACUGGGCGUAAAGCGCACGCAGGCGGUCUGUCAAGUCGGAUGUGAAAUCCCCGGGCUCAACCUGGGAACUGCAUUCGAAACUGGCAGGCUUGAGUCUUGUAGAGGGGGGUAGAAUUCCAGGUGUAGCGGUGAAAUGCGUAGAGAUCUGGAGGAAUACCGGUGGCGAAGGCGGCCCCCUGGACAAAGACUGACGCUCAGGUGCGAAAGCGUGGGGAGCAAACAGGAUUAGAUACCCUGGUAGUCCACGCCGUAAACGAUGUCUACUUGGAGGUUGUGCCCUUGAGGCGUGGCUUCCGGAGCUAACGCGUUAAGUAGACCGCCUGGGGAGUACGGCCGCAAGGUUAAAACUCAAAUGAAUUGACGGGGGCCCGCACAAGCGGUGGAGCAUGUGGUUUAAUUCGAUGCAACGCGAAGAACCUUACCUGGUCUUGACAUCCACAGAACUUUCCAGAGAUGGAUUGGUGCCUUCGGGAACUGUGAGACAGGUGCUGCAUGGCUGUCGUCAGCUCGUGUUGUGAAAUGUUGGGUUAAGUCCCGCAACGAGCGCAACCCUUAUCCUUUGUUGCCAGCGGUCCGGCCGGGAACUCAAAGGAGACUGCCAGUGAUAAACUGGAGGAAGGUGGGGAUGACGUCAAGUCAUCAUGGCCCUUACGACCAGGGCUACACACGUGCUACAAUGGCGCAUACAAAGAGAAGCGACCUCGCGAGAGCAAGCGGACCUCAUAAAGUGCGUCGUAGUCCGGAUUGGAGUCUGCAACUCGACUCCAUGAAGUCGGAAUCGCUAGUAAUCGUGGAUCAGAAUGCCACGGUGAAUACGUUCCCGGGCCUUGUACACACCGCCCGUCACACCAUGGGAGUGGGUUGCAAAAGAAGUAGGUAGCUUAACCUUCGGGAGGGCGCUUACCACUUUGUGAUUCAUGACUGGGGUGAAGUCGUAACAAGGUAACCGUAGGGGAACCUGCGGUUGGAUCACCUCCUUACCU
RNAcentral lists this ribosomal RNA (1547 nucleotides) under Salmonella enterica subsp. enterica serovar Rubislaw. RNAcentral describes it as "bacterial SSU rRNA". It matches the Rfam family "Bacterial small subunit ribosomal RNA". The record is from RNAcentral. Lineage: Bacteria; Pseudomonadati; Pseudomonadota; Gammaproteobacteria; Enterobacterales; Enterobacteriaceae.